RNAcentral lists this ribosomal RNA (1664 nucleotides) under Campylobacter coli. RNAcentral's name for it is "partial 23S ribosomal RNA". It matches the Rfam family "Bacterial large subunit ribosomal RNA", at positions 1269 to 2925 of the family's 2925-position model. The record is from RNAcentral. Lineage: Bacteria; Pseudomonadati; Campylobacterota; Epsilonproteobacteria; Campylobacterales; Campylobacteraceae.
AGUGCUGGAGCGAAUAGAAGUGAGCAUGCAGGCAUGAGUAGCGAUAAUUAAUGUGAGAAUCAUUAACGCCGUAAACCCAAGGUUUCCUACGCGAUGCUCGUCAUCGUAGGGUUAGUCGGGUCCUAAGUCGAGUCCGAAAGGGGUAGACGAUGGCAAAUUGGUUAAUAUUCCAAUACCAACAUUAGUGUGCGAUGGAAGGACGCUUAGGGCUAAGGGGGCUAGCGGAUGGAAGUGCUAGUCUAAGGUCGUAGGAGGUUAUACAGGCAAAUCCGUAUAACAAUACUCCGAGAACUGAAAGGCUUUUUGAAGUCUUCGGAUGGAUAGAAGAACCCCUGAUGCCGUCGAGCCAAGAAAAGUUUCUAAGUUUAGCUAAUGUUGCCCGUACCGUAAACCGACACAGGUGGGUGGGAUGAGUAUUCUAAGGCGCGUGGAAGAACUCUCUUUAAGGAACUCUGCAAAAUAGCACCGUAUCUUCGGUAUAAGGUGUGGUUAGCUUUGUAUUAGGAUUUACUCCGAAAGCAAGGAAACUUACAACAAAGAGUCCCUCCCGACUGUUUACCAAAAACACAGCACUCUGCUAACUCGUAAGAGGAUGUAUAGGGUGUGACGCCUGCCCGGUGCUCGAAGGUUAAUUGAUGGGGUUAGCAUUAGCGAAGCUCUUGAUCGAAGCCCGAGUAAACGGCGGCCGUAACUAUAACGGUCCUAAGGUAGCGAAAUUCCUUGUCGGUUAAAUACCGACCUGCAUGAAUGGCGUAACGAGAUGGGAGCUGUCUCAAAGAGGGAUCCAGUGAAAUUGUAGUGGAGGUGAAAAUUCCUCCUACCCGCGGCAAGACGGAAAGACCCCGUGGACCUUUACUACAGCUUGACACUGCUAUUUGGAUAAGAAUGUGCAGGAUAGGUGGGAGGCUUUGAGUAUAUGACGCCAGUUGUAUAUGAGCCAUUGUUGAGAUACCACUCUUUCUUAUUUGGGUAGCUAACCAGCUUGAGUUAUCCUCAAGUGGGACAAUGUCUGGUGGGUAGUUUGACUGGGGCGGUCGCCUCCCAAAUAAUAACGGAGGCUUACAAAGGUUGGCUCAGAACGGUUGGAAAUCGUUCGUAGAGUAUAAAGGUAUAAGCCAGCUUAACUGCAAGACAUACAAGUCAAGCAGAGACGAAAGUCGGUCUUAGUGAUCCGGUGGUUCUGUGUGGAAGGGCCAUCGCUCAAAGGAUAAAAGGUACCCCGGGGAUAACAGGCUGAUCUCCCCCAAGAGCUCACAUCGACGGGGAGGUUUGGCACCUCGAUGUCGGCUCAUCGCAUCCUGGGGCUGGAGCAGGUCCCAAGGGUAUGGCUGUUCGCCAUUUAAAGCGGUACGCGAGCUGGGUUCAGAACGUCGUGAGACAGUUCGGUCCCUAUCUGCCGUGGGCGUAAGAAGAUUGAAGAGAUUUGACCCUAGUACGAGAGGACCGGGUUGAACAAACCACUGGUGUAGCUGUUGUUCUGCCAAGAGCAUCGCAGCGUAGCUAAGUUUGGAAAGGAUAAACGCUGAAAGCAUCUAAGCGUGAAGCCAACUCUAAGAUGAAUCUUCUCUAAGCUCUCUAGAAGACUACUAGUUUGAUAGGCUGGGUGUGUAAUGGAUGAAAGUCCUUUAGCUGACCAGUACUAAUAGAGCGUUUGGCUUAUCUUU